GCAUUGGUGGUUCACUGGUAAAAUUUUUACCUCCCACGUGGGAGACCUGGGUUUGAUUCUCAGCCAAUGUA
This 71-nucleotide transfer RNA is filed under the name Loxodonta africana (African savanna elephant). It matches the Rfam family "tRNA". From Rfam's summary of the family: Transfer RNA (tRNA) molecules are approximately 80 nucleotides in length. Lineage: Eukaryota; Metazoa; Chordata; Mammalia; Proboscidea; Elephantidae. The record is from Rfam by way of RNAcentral.